AAUUUUUUAAAGAAAUUUUCAACAAUUUAAAAAGAAAGUGUAGCCUAUAGAACUGAAUAGAUAUUUGAUGAGAGUAAGGAAUUAUAGUUAAUUUUUAUUUAAGUGAGAUAAUGCUAUUGAGGUAAUGCUAAAAGUGUCCUUAACUUUUAGAAAUGCAUGUUAAAUUAUCGACAGGUGAGGUGAUUUGAUGUCUGUGUCCAGAUAGUCCUGGCAGAUAGAAGAAAUAAGAUUGGCCCUAUGUUGAUAAUUAUUGAAACUAGUUGAUAGGUAGAAAGAUCUUUUAAGGGACGUCUGGGUGGCUCAACUGGUUGAGCAUCUCACUCUUGAUUUUGCCUCAGGUCAUGAUCUCAUGGUUCCUGAGUUUGAACUCCACAUCAGGCUCUGCGCUGAUAGCAGAGGGAUUCUCUCUCUCCCUCUCUCUCUCUCUCUCUCUCUGCCCCUCCCCCGCCCGUGCACCAUGCUUUCUCUCUAAAUAAAUGAAUAAAUAAACAUUUAAAUCUAUCUAUCUACCUAUCUAUCUAUGUAUCUAUGUAUAUUUAUAUUUGAAACCCUUCAGAAUAACUUUUAACAAAUAAGUAAACCCAAGUCACUCCAAUAUUUUCCCAGUAUAUUCUCCCAAAGAAGGCUCUUCAGUGUUAGAAUGGUUGUUCCCUCACAAGUAGUACGCAGGUUGAGACCAGAGAAAGAAUUCCAAGUGGCGGGUAAAACCCCAGGCCAUCAUGGGGGGGCCAAACCCUCUUUCAAAUGGAGUGCUAUUUACUUAGGGGGUGAGGGGCUCUGUCUUGUGUGUCUUAAACCAGACUGUUCCCUGUUGGGUGGAAGCAACAUAUUACACCUGGACAGCUCCCUGCCCCAACCUAGGUUAAGAAAUGGGAUUUGUAAAGACUAGUAGGUUGGGUCCAAGGCAGAGGGAGGAGGUAAAAUUAGGUGUCUCUUUUUGUGAGGCUUGGAUGAGGUUGAGGUCUGAGAUCAGAGGUCAAGGAUGGGGCUGGAGGGAUGGGCGUGUCACUAAGGUGAGUGUGCUGUGCCAAGACCUAAGAGGCUUCGGGAGCUGACCUUCCUGGCCUUCAUGCCUUUCUCCUUGGUGCCAGUUCUCUGGGAUGGAGACAGAGCUCCUACCCAUCUCCCCCUCAACCCCCCUGCCCAUCUCCCUCCCACACCAUUCUCCUCUCUUCUCUGUCCAGUUCUCUGAUCCAUUUCCAUUCUCUCCUUCCUCAAGCCCCUUCCUCAUCUCCAUUUGCCAUUCCCUGUCCUCCGCCCUGCCAGACACCCCAGUUCAGGGUCCAGGAGAAGGACAGCUUUUAUGUGGCUUGUAAAAUUCUAUUAUAUCUGUAUUCAAAACCUAGCAGCUGAGAAACACUGGUAAUAAGCGUGUUAUUAAGCGUGUAAAUACACUUCCACUCCAAGGCCUCUAAGGGGCAAGGGCUGGAUUCUCAGGCUGGGCAUCUCCCCUGCUUGUAAGUCCCUCCCCACCUGGCCUCCACCCCAGACUUGGACCUUGUGCCAAGGCCCAGGUCUCCUCCAGUCUCCAACCACCACCGUCCUGCAAAACCCAGACUCUUGGAGAAAGGGGGCGGGGGAAGGGGCCGAAGAAAAAAAACAUUAGGAAAAAAACUCCCACCCAGAGAGCAUUCUUUCUGCAGCACUCAGGAAAAAGGAUGUCUCACAGGGGACGGGAAGGCGAAAUUUUUUCACAUCCAAAUGGAUUGCAAUUUCCCUCCAUUUAGCACCUGAAGGUAAUUAGCUCGAAGAGACUGCCGAGUGCGAAACACGUUCACGGAACAUUAACUCUCACACAUUCUCCAGUUGCAGGGAAUUAAUAGGAAAGAUUAAAGUUUAAAGAGAGCAAAAUGCCAUUACCUCGCCAGCCACCUCUCUCCGCGGCAGUCUCCAGCCCCCGAAAACCUUCGGCCAGUGCUUGGGCCGGGGCUCGGGUCUCAGCCUCCAGCCUGGCUGGCUGGGGCAUCUGGGUGUGCCUCACCAAGAAGGCUAGCAUGUGCUGAUGUGCACGCACGUGUGCAAAACAGGGCAGCUCUGCAAGGCCAGUGCAGCCCCCCUUCCAUCCCCGAGAAGUUUGGGGUGGACAGGGCAGGUGUGUUCUCAUAGGCUGACUCCUGGAAUUGGUGUGUAUGGUGGCCCUGGGCGGAUGGGGGAGACACUAGGAAGGGUUAUUAGCUUGGGUGUGCCCUGUGAUUUCGGUGCAGAGGGCGAGAUCUGGCAGCUUGGCCGGCAAUAGAGAAAUGGAGGGUGUCAGUCCCACCUUGGGUGUGUAGAGAGGCACUGGGUGAAGUGAUGGAGAGAGUUGCUUCCACUCUUGUGCGGCAGGCAGGAGCCACAAACAUACGCGUGCAUGCAUACGCAGGCUCCCACGACCACACACAGACGGCCUUUGUCACUCUGCUUUUUUCAAAGUUUAUGUAGGCUUCAAAUUGGAAAGGUUUCUGUGUUGCUUCAGUAUUUUAGGAAAAGAUGAAAGACAGAGAGAGGGAGACAGAGAGUGGGGGAGAGAGAGAGUGAGGGAGAGAGAGAGGGGCAGAGGCAGGCAGGAGAGAGAGAGCGCGAGAUGAAAUUGAGACAUGGAAGAAUUUAUUGCCCAGAAAAUUCCAUUCUGCUAUCUGAUUCAAAAAGUCCAGUCCCCCCAGCUUCGGAAAAUCUAUUUUCCACAUUUUAAUACCCUGCAGAACAGUCCUCAUAACUCAUCCGAGUGUGUUAAGCACAGUUUUAUUAGAUCUGAAACAAAUUUUGGUGGGGAGAUACUAUAGGUCAUUAACCAUGGAGUAAUUUUAUCCUUGUUUCCCUAAUGAUGCCAUAAUGGCGAGCGAAUUUCUUAACUAAAGACCAAAGAACAUUUUGAAGGUCAGUUUCAUCUGUGAGCUCCUUCAAGCGCUUCUCAGAGAAGAUUGGAAAACUCGCCGAUUUUUUGAAGAGUCAUUAAUAAUGUGAAAGCUGAAAGCACCCUCCAUUUGCGUUCCUGCUUUUUACCUUUUAAUUUUAUAUCGUCCCCGCUCAGAGCCCCGCUCCCACUCCCUCACCCUCCUCUGGACCUCCCGCCUGCCUACCCACCCCACGCAGGGAACAAGGCUGCCCCAUACCAGGUACCAGGCUAGCUGUGAGGGGCAGACAGGGGCUGCAGGAGGGGAGGCAGAAGAGCUAGAGAGGCCAGGGCCCCAAAGAGACGGGGGCCUUUGCUAAAUUCCCAGAAUGUGGUGUACUGUGUGAGGGUAUUGUUAUAGGCAUGGUACACGUGUGCGUGUGUGCAUGUGUGCAAAUGUGCAGUGCAGGAGACUGGGGUCUCUGGACUGCAUGCUGGCUGUGCACACACAUGCUAGGGACCAAUGGGGACUUAGUAGUCUCUAUAGGUGGGUGCCCUCUGUUGGACGCAGGUGGGGAAAGAGAACUGGAAACCAGCACUGGGUCCAGUGGCUUGGGCAGUGGGUCAGCUGGGGGACUUGAGGUAUCUCCCAACAGAGAUGGACAACACGUGCAAGGCAUGAAACAAUUGAUAGCGCAUUGUGAGCCCUGAUUACAAUGUGUGCACAUGAGCGUAUAUGUCCUGGGGGUGGUGAGGUCAUCAAGGCAAGAGCCCCAAGGGCCCUCUCUACUGGCAAAUAUUUAGACACUUGAAACAGUGACCAUUGUCUGCCCAUCCCUCACUCCUUGGACCACUCACUCCUUGCUCCCCAGGCCUGGAGCCCUUCAUUUGCCCAGUUUACUCCCUCCUAAUCUCCAGUCUCUGGCUCCUUGGACCCCCCCCCCCCACCUCCCAGUUCCACCCCUUCCCCUGAACACUCCUCCCUCCAGCUCCUCACCUAUCUGAUGGCUAUCAUUGCAGGGUGCCCAGCCAGGAGCUGGGGUGGGACAGCAUCUCUGUGUGUGUGCAGGUUUGGGGAGGAGGGGGCGGUGUGGUGACACUCCAUGCUCCCAGAUGUGGUGGCAGCGAUAAUUCCAAUUUUAUGCCUUUGUUAUGGCUUUAAUCACUUUCUUUAUGCGUUUUGUUCCAGCGAUCAGGGAGAGACACCUGAUAGGCAAAGAGGAUACCAGGGGAACCAUUUUUAUUUGGAAUGUGGUGAGAAGUCUAAUUAGAAUCUGAAUUCUGCUGAGCCUUGAAAUGGCCAGCACUUUAUCCUGAUCGCCUUAGAUAUUGUUUCGAGUCAAUCAUCUGUCAUGGUGCGGCAGGAGAGCCUCUCCCUUCACACCGCACCCCUCCCGCCACGGGGCCAGCCCAGGCACACUGGGGGAGGGGAGGCUCAGGCUUCCGCCCUCGUAGGGGUCUGUGCCUCCUUCUGGGGAGGGGGUGCUGUUUGGUAUAGCCAACCCUCCAUUGGUGAGGGCUGUCUUUGCUGGGUGCUGAGUUUCAGCUCAUGGGGGUGGAGAGAGGGGCUGCAGAAAGAGGGGCCUGAGAGGCCUGUAUUAGAAUUAGGAAAUAUUGAGGUGAGGCCAAGCUAGUCUGGGGCACCUCCUAAAUGCUCUCAGUACACUGACCACCCCACCUCCUAUCAAUGGCUCACAGCGACUCUCCUCUCUUUACUGUCCCCUGGACAUAUUGUAUCUCUGCCACCUGCUCACUGUCCCUCAAACUCACUGCUCCCAUUGCCAACCCCUCCCUGACCAACACUUGCCACAAGUUCAGCUCCUGGUCUCCGACUUUCCUUCCUCCAGUCCUGCCGCUGGACCACCAAUCCGGCUUGUUCUGCCAUCUGUCGAGUCCCUGGACUGGUUCCACCUCCUCCAGAAAGCCUUCCCUGACUACCUGAACCCACACAGAGCUCGGCUGCAGCGGGGGGAGAUGAAAAGGAGGAGAAACUGUUGGAUAAAAAGAAAUUCAAAAAAAAAAAAUCUCUCCCAAAUGUAGCCACAGUGCAAAGCUCUCCACUGUUCUCUCCAGUCUCUCAGGAGAUCUUAGUCACUUGGGAACUUGCAGCUGUCACCCCCGAGCAGGUGGGAGAGCCAAACUCUGGGAAGAUGAAGUUCUCCUCAAGAGAAAUGAAAACGUGGGCCUACACAAAAACUUGUACAACGAUGGUUGGAGCAGUAUUUUUCAUAAUGGCCCAAAAGUGGAAAGAACCCAAAUAUCCAUCAACUGGUGAAUACGUAAAUAAAAUGUAGUAUAUCCAUACAAUGGGAUAUUAUUUGGUCAUGAAAAGUAAUGAAGUACUGAUUCAUGUUACAACAUGGGUGAAUAUUGAAGACUCUAUGUUAAGUAAAAGAAGCCAAUCACCAAAAAACCCCAAA
Neofelis nebulosa (Clouded leopard) is the source of this 5232-nucleotide long non-coding RNA. RefSeq lists it as uncharacterized. The transcript is spliced from 4 exons. Lineage: Eukaryota; Metazoa; Chordata; Mammalia; Carnivora; Felidae. The record is from RefSeq and is a predicted model, not a curated record.